UGGGGAAUAUUGCACAAUGGGGGAAACCCUGAUGCAGCGACGCCGCGUGAGUGAGGAAGUAUUUCGGUAUGUAAAACUCUAUCAGCAGGGAAGAUAAUGACGGUACCUGACUAAGAAGCACCGGCUAAAUACGUGCCAGCAGCCGCGGUAAUACGUAUGGUGCAAGCGUUAUCCGGAUUUACUGGGUGUAAAGGGUGCGUAGGUGGUAUGGCAAGUCAGAAGUGAAAGGCUGGGGCUUAACCCCGGGACUGCUUUUGAAACUGUCAAACUAGAGUACAGGAGAGGAAAGCGGAAUUCCUAGUGUAGCGGUGAAAUGCGUAGAUAUUAGGAGGAACACCAGUGGCGAAGGCGGCUUUCUGGACUGAAACUGACACUGAGGCACGAAAGCGUGGGGAGCAAACAGG
RNAcentral lists this ribosomal RNA (404 nucleotides) under uncultured bacterium. RNAcentral describes it as "bacterial SSU rRNA". It matches the Rfam family "Bacterial small subunit ribosomal RNA", at positions 355 to 776 of the family's 1533-position model. The record is from RNAcentral.